AGCCCUUAUACAUGCAAGUCGAACGAGAAAGCUUCUUCGGAAGUGAGUAAAGUGGCGGACGGGUGAGUAACGCGUAGGAAUCUACCUUUCAGUGGGGGACAGCUCGGGGAAACUCGAAUUAAUACCGCAUAUACCCUUAGGGGGAAAGGGGGCCUCUCCUUGGAAGCUCUCGCUGUUAGAUGAGCCUGCGUGAGAUUAGCUUGUUGGUAAGGUAAUGGCUUACCAAGGCUACGAUCUCUAGCUGGUCUGAGAGGACGAUCAGCCACACUGGGACUGAGACACGGCCCAGACUCCUACGGGAGGCAGCAGUAGGGAAUAUUGGACAAUGGGGGAAACCCUGAUCCAGGCAUGCCGCGUGUGUGAAGAAGGCCUUAGGGUUGUAAAGCACUUUAAGUGAGGAAGAAAAGAUUCAAAUUAAUACUUUGAAUCCCUGACAUUACUCACAGAAUAAGGACCGGCUAACUCCGUGCCAGCAGCCGCGGUAAUACGGAGGGUCCAAGCGUUAAUCGGAAUUACUGGGCGUAAAGCGCGCGUAGAUGGUUUAUCCAGUUGGGUGUGAAAUCCCUGGGCUCAACCCAGGAACUGCAUUCAAAACUUAUAAACUAGAGUACGAAAGAGGAGAGCAGAAUUCAUGGUGUAGCGGUGAAAUGCGUAGAUAUCAUGAGGAAUACCAGUGGCGAAGGCGGCUCUCUGGUUCGAGACUGACAUUGAGGUGCGAAAGCGUGGGUAGCAAACAGGAUUAGAUACCCUGGUAGUCCACGCCGUAAACGAUGAGAACUAGCCGUUGGAUCUUUAGAUUCAGUGGCGCAGCUAACGCAUUAAGUUCUCCGCCUGGG
Molecule: ribosomal RNA, 836 nt
Filed under: uncultured Gammaproteobacteria bacterium
Lineage: Bacteria; Pseudomonadati; Pseudomonadota; Gammaproteobacteria
Description: bacterial SSU rRNA
Rfam family: Bacterial small subunit ribosomal RNA
Source: RNAcentral